This 407-nucleotide ribosomal RNA is filed under the name uncultured bacterium. RNAcentral's name for it is "partial 16S ribosomal RNA". It matches the Rfam family "Bacterial small subunit ribosomal RNA", at positions 30 to 526 of the family's 1533-position model. The record is from RNAcentral.
AUUGAACGCUGGCGGCAGGCCUAACACAUGCAAGUCGAGCGGAGCGGCUGACGGGUGCGUAAUGCCUAGGAAUCUGCCUGGUAGUGGGUGAUAACGUCCGGAAACGGGCGCUAAUACCGCAUACUAUCAGAUGAGCCUAGGUCGGCUUAGCGAGUUGGUGGGGUAAAGGCCUACCAAGGCGACGAUCCGUAACUGGUCUGAGGGGAGGAUCAGUCACAUUGGAACUGAGACACGGUCCAGACUCCUACGGGAGGAAGAAGUGGGGAAUAUUGGACAAGGGGCGAAAGCCGGAUCCAGCCAGGCCGCGUGGUGGAAGAAGGUCUUCGGAUGGUAAAGCACUUUAAGUUGGGAGGCGGUACCAACAGAAUAAGCACCGGCUAACUUCGUGCCAGCAGCCGCGGUAAUAC